This 1128-nucleotide long non-coding RNA is filed under the name Dromaius novaehollandiae (emu). RNAcentral describes it as "lncRNA (ENSDNVG00000018172.1)". Lineage: Eukaryota; Metazoa; Chordata; Aves; Casuariiformes; Dromaiidae. The record is from RNAcentral.
UCACAACUGUGAUGGGAUCUCUUUGCUGUAGAAGUCAAGAGAAUUGUACGACAAACCUGUUUUCUCCCCUUUUCCUUGGGUGACCCUACUGGGAGAUGAGACACCAAAUGGCCUAGUCUGUGCCUAGGCUACAGGACCAGGACCCUAAUCAGCACCAUAAACCUGUACUAAAAUGAGCUUAAAGUAAUAGUUACAUUCUGCACAUAAAGCCAUAUGAAGUAGAGCAUUAGUAGAAGUAUGGCAUUGAUUUAAUCAUACACAGAGACACGCACUCAUUCUGAAAUCAACCACCACUUUAAAGUGUCAUCCCUUCUCUGUGAUCUGUCCCUGCACUUCCAUUUUGGCUGACUGAUGCUGCAGACUGAAAUACAGGUUUCCCCACAGUGGGGCCUCUCUAGCUUGGCAUUCUCAGUGUAUUUGGACUGUGUGUGUACUUAGUUGGAGAAAGGGUCAGGAUUUCAUACUGAGGAAGGGUAGAAACAUCUUUUAGCCUCACUCCAAGAGACAUUAGCUUUCAGAAGCUUUUGCAAGGACCAUGUUGUUUCCUAUUGGCUAUUUCAGAGUCAGAAAGAAACUCCUUGAAGUCCUGAAGGACAAAACUCUGAUUUGCAACAGCAUUUUCCUCCUUCUUUGUUCAUUUCCUUCAGAAGCUAAGCCACAACAUUAUCCUUACAUGUGAAGAUGGUGGAAGAUAACAGAAUGCCAGCUGUGUUGGAGCAAGAGUUCGGGUAUUAAUUUUCAGAUGCAUAGAAUGUGUCUGUAAUAGAAGAGAAGUGGUCUGUUGUGCCCUAAGUAGGCAAUGUAUUCUGCAGUCAACAAGAGAGGGGAGGGAAAACAUAUUUUUUGUUUGUUUUUAUCUUUUAUCAUCAUAACUAAUCAGGGAGUUAAAAAAGAACAUUUCAGAUGAAAUGUGAAUCAGUUCAAAAUAGUCUAUAAUCUGAAUUCAUUUUUCCCAUGCAGAUUUUCAGAAGUCAGGAAUUUGUGAACUGCCAAAAGGAAUAUACAGUCAGCUAAGGAUGAUGUAAUGUAAUUUAUGCAGAACAGUUUAUCACAACAGGUUACUUAAUCAAUGAUCCAUCUUCUUUAGCAAGAAGAUUUUAAACUCAUUGGACUUCAAAAUUAUUUUAA